This 481-nucleotide ribosomal RNA is filed under the name uncultured bacterium. RNAcentral describes it as "bacterial SSU rRNA". It matches the Rfam family "Bacterial small subunit ribosomal RNA", at positions 23 to 507 of the family's 1533-position model. The record is from RNAcentral.
CUCAGGAUGAACGCUGGCGGCGUGCCUAACACAUGCAAGUCGAACGGAGCUGCUUUGAUGAAGUUUCGGAUGGAUUAAACAGCUUAGUGGCGGACGGGUGAGUAACGCGUGGGUAACCUGCCUCACACUGGGGGAUAACAGUUAGAAAUAGCUGCUAAUACCGCAUAAGCCGCACAGUUCCGCAUGGAACAGUGUGAAAAACUCCGGUGGUGUGAGAUGGACCCGCGUCUGAUUAGCCAGUUGGCGGGGUAACGGCCCACCAAAGCGACGAUCAGUAGCCGGCCUGAGAGGGUGAACGGCCACAUUGGGACUGAGACACGGCCCAAACUCCUACGGGAGGCAGCAGUGGGGAAUAUUGCACAAUGGGGGAAACCCUGAUGCAGCGACGCCGCGUGAGUGAUGAAGUAUUUCGGUAUGUAAAACUCUAUCAGCAGGGAAGAUAAUGACGGUACCUGACUAAGAAGCACCGGCUAAAUACGUG